This 426-nucleotide ribosomal RNA is filed under the name uncultured bacterium. RNAcentral's name for it is "bacterial SSU rRNA". It matches the Rfam family "Bacterial small subunit ribosomal RNA", at positions 354 to 796 of the family's 1533-position model. The record is from RNAcentral.
GUGAGGAAUUUUCCGCAAUGGGCGAAAGCCUGACGGAGCAAUGCCGCGUGAAGGAUGAAGGCCUAUGGGUUGUAAACUUCUUUUCUCAGAAAAGAAUUAUGACGGUAUCUGAGGAAUAAGCAUCGGCUAACUCUGUGCCAGCAGCCGCGGUAAGACAGAGGAUGCAAGCGUUAUCCGGAAUGAUUGGGCGUAAAGCGUCUGUAGGUUGUUUAAAAAGUAUUCUGUCAAAGAUUAGGGCUUAACCCUAGAUAGGCAGAAUAAACUUUUAAGCUAGAGUUUGGUAGAGGCAGAGGGAAUUCCCGGUGGAGCGGUGAAAUGCGUAGAUAUCGGGAGGAACACCAAAGGCGAAGGCACUCUGCUGGGCCAAUACUAACACUGAGAGACGAAAGCGAGGGGAGCAAAUGGGAUUAGAUACCCUUGUAGUCC